ACGGGGGGAGCAAGCGUUGUUCGGAAUCACUGGGCGUAAAGGGCGUGUAGGCGGCCAGGUAAGUGAGAUGUGAAAUUCCCCGGCUCACCCGGGGACCUGCAUCUCAUACUGCUUGGCUUGAGUACGGGAGAGGAUGUGGGAAUUCCUGGUGUAGCGGUGAAAUGCGUAGAUAUCAGGAGGAACACCGGUGGCGAAAGCGCACAUCUGGCCCGAUACUGACGCUGAGGCGCGAAAGCUAGGGGAGCAAACGGGA
This 253-nucleotide ribosomal RNA is filed under the name uncultured prokaryote. RNAcentral's name for it is "partial 16S ribosomal RNA". It matches the Rfam family "Bacterial small subunit ribosomal RNA", at positions 525 to 777 of the family's 1533-position model. The record is from RNAcentral.